This 11518-nucleotide long non-coding RNA is filed under the name Nicotiana benthamiana. Its description in RNAcentral is "long non-coding RNA (NBEN_LNC017933)". Lineage: Eukaryota; Viridiplantae; Streptophyta; Magnoliopsida; Solanales; Solanaceae. The record is from RNAcentral.
UAAAAAGGGGCUAGACCAAAACAGUGCUAUACAAUCCGCUUUUUCUUAUCUUCAGAAUAUCAACACACACACAAUUAUUGAACUCGAAGAAAUUGACGGUGAAUCAAUUGAGGAUAUGAUGAAUAUCCAAUAAAUUCCUUCUCCUCUCCUAGCUUAUUGACCUCAUUACUAAGUAAUGGCCCUUAUCAUUCUUUCAUACAUUAAUACCACACAUAGACAUAAACAGAGGGGGAAACGGAAUAGAAUAGGAGAUUGAGAAUAGGGGAUUAGAUCUUAGACUGAACGAAAACAGUGAGAAAGAGGGGAAACGAAAAGCAGAAUCACAAAAUUAUUGGGGGAAAAUCUCCAAUCUCGCCCCGCAGCCCGAUGUUUGCAUUCCAGUCGAGUUGGGUCUGUUCAGUUCCGUUCGAGAUUCCGACGAGUUUCCGGCGCUGCUACGUUACUUGUUCUUUCCGUCAAUUAGCAUUUUCAGAUUGUAAGUCAUUUUAAUUUAAGAUUAAUAGAGGUUUAUCUUUUCUUCUCCCUCUAUUUCAUAUGUUAUUCUUAUGUGAUUAGUUCUGUGAAGAAUUGGAUUUCAUGGUCGUUUUCUUUGUGUUCACCACUGCACCACCCCUAAGUUUUCAUUUGUAAUUUCCUUUAUUUGUCCGUUGAUUAGUGCUUGUUUGGUUAUGAUGCCGAAUCUGGUUCUGGCUUUAAAUCAUUGGCUUAAAGUAAUGUUGUUAAUGAGUAUUUGUAUAUAUGUGUUUGACAAAUUUGAGUUGAUAUGCUUCAUUUUCAUGAAUGUUUGUUUUAUAAUAACAUACAUUAUCAGUAGUAUAUGCCUUAACUAUUGAUGUUUGGUUGUUACUGUGAAUUAACUUUCCUAUAUGGAAUCAAAAUAGCAUAUGCCUUAACUUUUAAUUCUUUUGUAAGAAGUGGUUAUUCUUUAAAUAGAUGUCUUAGGCUAUUUCUGCACUUAGCCAUGUUGAUAUAGAGAAAAUUUCAACGCCUUUCAUAACAGUUUGUCUCUUUUGCAAUCUUUGAUAUGAUAUAAGAAGCUGAAUGUUAGUGGAAAUGCUCUAGGCACGUUUAAUCUGUGAUUGUGUACGUGUUCGCGUGACAUAAUUACAAUUUAAAAAAUUAAUUCGGAGUAUGCGUUCGCGGAACUUCGAUCAAACCUUUCUUAAUAGUAAAUUUGUUAUUAAUAUAGUCCUAUUUAAUUAAUUUUGGUUCAUAUAGUCCGAGGCAUGCCGUGCCAAAUGAAAUCUUAAAAUGCAUGGCCCUCAUAUAAAUUCCACACCCUAGAUAUAAAAACGAUAAAUGUUUGUAGUUUGCUUUAGACACGUCUAAUAUACUAUCGUGGUUGUGGACACGUUCGCAUGAUAUGAUUACGAUUUCUAAAAACAAAACAAGUGUAUGCGGUUGUGCAACUUUGGUCAAAUUUUUCUAAUUAUAAUAAAGUGUUAUUAAUUCGGGGCACGUUUGCAUGACAUGAUUUUCGACACACCAAACAAAUGGGUACACACGCAUGUGACCCGUUUCAAGAUAAUUUUCUUAACUUAAAAGCGGUCAAAGAUAAAUGCACGUAGUUUCUAAAAUCAGUAAUUAAACAAUUUGAUUAAACCAAGUAUGAUCAAAACGACCGUGCUAGUAUCAGGAACUAGGAAUGCCUAACACCUUCUCCCAGGUUAAAAAAUUUCCUUACCUACAUUUCUGUGUUCGCAGACUGUAAAACAAAGUCAACCUUUUCCUUGAUUCGGGAUUUGAACAGGUGACUUGGGACACCAUGAAUUAUCUCAAGUGGAGACUAAAUUUAAUUAAUAAAUAAUUCCAUUUUGAUAAUCACUUUAAGUUUGAAAAAACUCCCUCAUAUUCCCCUUUCGGGGUUGUGUGAAAAAAGAGGUGUGACAUAUAUGCUUGUAUUGCUUAUUUGCAGGUAAACCGGCGAGCAACGACCAUUACGACAAGGGCGAUUUUGCUCCAGUUCCCAGAGCCCUUCUAGCCCUUAACCAUUCAUUCUACCUGAAUAUUGCGUCUGUCCUUGAAAAGGUCUCCAUAGGCAUACUCCGCCGAGGGAUCUUGAUCUACAUAUAGCCUGAUUCCUGUAAGACCCAGGGAUAUGUAGGUAGCUCAGAAGCUGUCACGAUCCCAGUUCGCCCUCCGUGAACAUGUCGUGACACCUACGACUAGGUAAGCCUAACAAUGCAGAAACAAAUAACUUGCAGAAAUUAUAACUAAAAACCAAGAUUUAACAAGAUGGAACAAAAUAUAAAAUGCCACUCGGCAUGUACAGCGCAAUAUCUCAAACUUCUACAAUACUAUUCGAAAACUCGAAAACUUAUGGGAACACAAGCGGAAGGAAAUAUAGUACAAUGCUCGAACUCCAAAAUGAUUAAAACGAUAAUAAGAAGGAAGGCUAACUGCUAAAAGAUAGAAUAAGAUAGAGACUUCUUGUUCUGCGGACGCGGCACAUAUACCUCGAAGUCUCUGCUAGAUCUCUCCGCCUCAAGGGUGAUACGCCUGGGCAGUGGUAUGUGGAUCUGCACAUGAAAAUCAUGCGCAGAAGGGGCAUGAGUACACCAUAGCGGUACUCAGUAAGUGACAAGCCUAGCCUCGAUCGGGUAGUGACGAGGAAGGUCAGGGCCCUACUGAGGUUAAACAUAAUAAUAAGUUUCAACAGUAUGUAAUAAACAAUAUAAAUGAGAACAACAAUGAAAUAAGACAGGUUAUGCCAGGUAACAAUAAUUACACAACAUUAUAGAGUGAACUCAAAAAAUCAUAGCAGCUCAAUACAAUAGUAACACGAGGAUCUCCCAGGAUACCAUCCUGCAGUCCCUUUCAUCAAUUGUCCGGUGGAUCUCCUAGGAUACCGCCCUGUAGUCAAUCAUAUGUAUAUAUAUCCAAAGGACCUCCUGGGAUACCGUCCCGUACUCCAACUAUCAAUGUGCAGGGAUCUACCGGAACCCCGGUCAGUAAUCCCAAAUAUGAAUACCCCAUACUGGGGGAAUCUACCGAGUGUAUUCCCGUAGUUCCAUAUAACUGUGCAAGGGAAUCUAUAGGGAAUCUAACUCGUAGUCCCAAAGUAAAUGUGCAGGGAGAUCUAUCAGGAACCUAACCCGUAGUCCCAUAGUAAACAGACAAGGGGAGAGCUACCGGAAUUCCACAUCUGUAGUCCCAAUAUAAAUGCGCAGCAACAACAAGAAGAUAUUUAGGAAAUGAAAUUACAGAUCAAAGCAACAAGUAGUCCUAGCCUAACAUGCUUCAGAUGAUGCAAUCAAGGCAAUUUAAACAAAUAAGCAAUUUAAGUCAACUAAAAAUGUUCUUCUAACUAGCAACACGAUACAUUUGGAAGUGUAAUAAAGCAUGAAGGGAAACAUGCUAAUUAGUACUUUAAAAAAAUCGGAUUUUCAAUAAAUUGCACAAGUACGCACUCGCCACCUCGCGCACAAGGCAAUUCAAUUACCAAAUAUCAUAUCCUAAGGAAAAAAGUCCCCCACACAAGGUUAGACAAGCCACUUACCUCAAACCGGCUUAAAAUCAACUAGAAAUGACGUUUUUGCCAUGAGUAUCCAACUCCAAAUGGCCCAAAUCUAUUCAAUUCAAUUACAUAUCAUAAAUAACAUCUUAAACAACUGAUUCUACGAUUUAUUUCAAAGCAAAGACGCGAAAUUAGGUAAAAUGACCAAAAUGCCUCUCAAGCGAACGUCUUGAAAUAAGAUGAAACUUAUAUUUUCAGAAAACUCGUACUCUCACAACUCUAUACAUAACAAGAGCACAAAAAUCGGAGUCCAAAUGUCCCCUCAAACCUCAUUUAAAGGCCUCUUAAACUCAAGCCCUAAUUAACUUUUUUUCCCAAAUUUCUCACCAUUAAUCAUGUAUUUAAUCACAUAAAAACGAGUUAUGAAGUCAAAAAUGUUACUUCCAAGUGAUUCCCCUUGAAUCCUUCUUCAACCAACUUCAAAAAUCUCUCAAAAAGAUUAACAAUGGAGUAUAUGAGCCCCAAACUCAUGGAUGAAAUGUCUUAAAACAUUCUGCCCAUCACAGACCGUUCCUUCAUCGUGAUUGUAGCACAAACCUCGCGAUUGUGAAGAGCAAAUAUUCAACACCUCAAAAAUCCACUAUACGAAUGCGACCAAGCCCCUGCAAACGUGAUGCUUCAGCUUUAUGCACCUAUGCGAACGCGAUCCCACAUAUGCGAACACGAAUCCUAACCUUCCGCGAACGUGAGCCCUCAAACGCAAAUGCAAAGGUCAAUAUCCUGGCCUUCCAAAUUCCUUCUAUGCGAUCGCAACUCACCCCAUGCGAUCUCGAAGAGCCAAAUCUUCUGCAACAGUUGUUUCAAAAUCUGCAACUUUUCAACUUUGAAAAUGGACCGAUUGACCAUCUGAAACUCACCCGAGGCCUUCGAGACCUCAACCAAAAGAAUCAAUACAUCCUAAAACCUCAUUCAAAUUUGUUCCAAUUAUCAAAACACCUCAAACAAUAUCAAAUUACCCAAAACUCAUCGAAUCCAAGCCUAAGUUUGUUAAAAGCCUCCAUAAUACCUUUCGAUCAAAAACCCAACCAAACCACGUCUGAAUGACCUGAAAUUUUGCACACAUAUCCCAAAUGGCAUAACGGAGCUACUACAACUCUCAGAAUUCCAUUAAAACCCUCAGAUCAAAAUCUCAUUAUCGAACCUGAAACUUCCAAAAUUCAAACAUUGACAUUUCAAGCCUAAAUUAGCUAUCGACGUCCAAAACACAAUCUGAACACGCUCCUAACCCGGAAUUCACCUAACGAAGCUAACGGAACCAUCGAAUUUUCAUUCCGAGGCCAUCUUCAUAUUUUUAUGACUGUGGACAACUUUUCAACACUUAAACUCUCAUUCUGGGACUAAGUGUCGCUAAACUCUCCUAAACUCAAAAUCGAAUGUCCCGACAAAUCAAAUUAGCGUAAAUAAACUUGGGGAAAGCAGUUAAUAGGGAAUCGGGGGGUUAAUUCUUAUGACAACUGGCCAGGUCAUCACAGAAGCUAGAGCACGGCCAAACCUCCUCAAACCAUUUCGUUCAGUCAAAAUUGGGCAUCAUAUCUUUACCCGACAACUCUUUCAUCCUUCUCGGGUAAAGAAGUGCAGCUUUUGAUACCCAAUUUUUCCUUGUAUUUUUUAAAUAUGUAAAAUACCUUCAAAAUAGCCUAAAUAGGCAUGUAUAAUUACGUCCCAAGAUUUUAUAUUUUUCUUAAUUUUUCAAAAAAAUUUAAACAAAUUUACUACUAUAUUUUAUCAAGAAAAAUCCAAUAAUUAUUCCCAAAAUUAUCAUUUUGGUGAUUCAUUUAUUGAAUUCUCGUAUUUAUACUAAAAUAUAGAUAACAUAGUUUUUGCAUAUUUUUACAAAUUUAUUUAGAAUCUAAACUGUUUAUAACUGCAAUACUAGCCAUUUUUAAGUUUAAACUUGUCUUAUAUUUAUAAAAUGGGAUUGUACAUUUUAAAAUUGUUAAUUAUAUAUUAUAUGUCAUCUUAGUGCUUUUAAUUAGUUUUUAGAAAUUUAGUUACUAUUUUUUAUAAAUUAAAUGGAAAAAAGUGGCUAUUUAACGUAUAGCCAGCUGGCUUUCUAACUUAGCCUAAAUUAAACUAACCCACACCCCAAUUAAACCCAACUUCAGACACAAUUAACCAACCCAACUACUUAAUUUACCUGACUCACAGCCCGUUUCAACGACCUGUCUGGCUUCCCCAUUUAAUCUAGGUCAUUGAUCAAAAUGAUCAACGGCCAUCUUUUAACCUUUCCAUUUUAAUCACUAAUUACCCCCCCCCAAACCCUACUCAUUUGGCAUCAUCAACUGCCUUUGAACCCCUCAUUCUCUCAAACUCUCUCGAAGCUUCUCAAACCCUAGCCGCAUUACACCACUUCCGUCCUAAAAACCACUGAAAUCCAUGGCUUUUAAGGCUAUAAAGUCUUAUACCAACCUCAUAUGGCUCCGACACGCCUGGUUAUUGUGGUUUUGAGGUCUGACCAUGAAGAAGCUUAGUCUAGACUUCAAUUGGCUCUUCUAUGGCCGUCUCAAACCUCGCUCUUGUCAGCCAUGGUCAUUCGAGCCUAAUCUCGACUUCUCCGGCUCAGAUCAGUGACUUUUUCAAGUCUUUCUCACUACUUGGGUUCUUCUGAAACCCUAACCCUUCGAGGUUAUUUCGAUUCUUUUAGAUCCGUUGUAUAUGUGUGUUUUCUUUAAGCUCUUAUGCAUUUUUCUCAAAGUUCUUUCAAAAACUACACCUUCCGAGCCUUCAUCUUUUUCCGAUGUAGGGUUUCGUCAAGUUGUACUUUAAAAUUUCUCUGAUCUUUAGCAUAUUUUACUGUAUAUGUGUAUUUCUUAUGUGUUUCUUCUACUGUAUUUCCUAUAUGUUCUUCUAUUAUGCUACUACAUUUCUUGUGUAUUUAAUUUUACUAUAUUUCUUAUGUGGUGUCUUCUACUGUAUUUUUUAUGUUGUUUCUCCUACUUUGAUUUUUAUGUGUUCCUUUUACUGAAAGAUGCAUGUUAAAAGUAGCAAUUUCUUUCUGAUUUCCUAAAGUUGUUUCGUCAGUAUUUUUUGCCUUGAUAACUAGCCCUUUCAAUCUCUACACUCGAUUGAUGGCAAAAACCUUGAAAUUUGAGGUUUCCUUCGAGUAUUGAGACCGUUGGUUAUGUGAUUUGCUUGAGCUUCACCUAUGAACUUGCUUGAUUUCCUGGACUUAUUCGAGUUCCUAGAGUUAUUUUAUCUACUGCUUCAUUAAGUCUCAAAAUCAUUGUCUCAAUCUUUUUUUCAUGUGAUUAUGGCUUUUGCUAAACUAUAUAAGACCUUUACUUGACCCCUUUUUUGCACGCAAUCUGAUACUUUCUCUUCUGAAUUACCAUAUUCCUAUAGUCUACUGCGUACUUAUUUUUCAAUUGCAUGACACUUUCACUUUGUCCUGCAUUCAGUCUCGCAUGCCUGUUACUUGUGCACUCUUUAUAUGUUUUGAUCUUCCCUUCUAAGUGGCCUGCAGCUGUGAUUGAUUUCAGACCUCCUUUGUAUAAGGUUGAUUGAUUUCUUUCCAUAUUUGUUGACUUCCCUGUUAAUCGAUUUGAGUCAAAGGAUUUCCUUAGUUUUUCUGACUGGAUUCAUUCAUGGACCAAUGCUUACAAAUGUCUCUGACCUCCUUGAUUUCAUGCAUACUGAUGGAUCCUUACCUUAUUUGAUUUAACCGUGUAUUUCAAACUUCUUCCCUUGAUUAAAUCCCCUAUGUAUUUACCCCUAAUGACCUACUUUUCACAAGAUGUUAAUUUGAUUUCUUUCCAUAAAUAGUUUUUACCGUUUGAAUCUGAAUUCCUGAAUUAAAGGAAGUCUUGAUUCUUAAUUGAUAUUCAUUUUCUUAAUGGUUUUCUUACCUUGUUUCUGUCUAUUCUUCACAUUAUAAAUACACGACUCUUUCAUUGACACAAGAUACGAUGACUCUAAGUUUUCUAUACACAAUCGCUCGUGGUUUUCUGAAUUUAGAGUCACACUCAAAAAAUAGUCUUUCUUGCUCCUUGUACUGUGGCCUGUUUGCAAGUCCUGCUGCCUGCUUCUUUCUCUAUUUGCUUUCCAUAAAUUGGUAUGUUCUAAUUAUGAUUCAGCAUCACAACUUUGUGUUUAUUUAACACCUUUUCCUCUUAACUGCCUACUUAUGUGUUUGAUUCAGUGUGUGUUAGCAUUUUCCUUCUACCUUUUCUCCCUCUUUUGUGUAUUCUAAGUUGUUUGACACCGAUGCAUGUUUGAGGAAUGAAAACAUUAAAAUAUUGUUGUCUAUGACUCAAAUUUGGUCCCCUGGGAUCAUAACCUUAUAUUAUCAUUGUAUGUUGUAUAUCCUAGUUGGUUUUAUGAGCAUAACAACAUUCCCCUAUUAUUGUGCACGCCCAAAAUCAAUUAAUGCGCAAGCAUAAGGGCUCCCUACCAUCAUUUCCCAGUCUCUGACCCUAUUUUGUGUAAAUUUAUCACUUCUGUAGCUAUUUCCUUGUACCCUUUUCCCUUUUCUUUACUUCCCUAGUCCUUAAAGUUUUGUUUCUUCACUUGUACACUCUCUUAGACUUUAAGUUAUGCCCCCUAUUGUGAGCCUUGCCCUGUGACCCUUUGAGCUUUUUCAAAACUUGGACACUUGAAGGUGGCCCUUUUUCACUACACUUGUUCCAAUCUGAUAAUACAUUUGUGUGUGAGCAUUGCACGGAAUCCCUUUGAGGCUCUUAGGGAAUUUUGACACACUCAUAUGGGAGAAAGGCUUUGGAUCGUGAUCUUGUGGAGUUGGUUUACCACAUAUUUUAGACAUGAAGUCGAAUCAGGCUCUCCUUUGUUGUACUUGUAUUUGUAUUUUUUAUGUAUUUUUUUACUUUAAUCUGAGCUGUAAUAACUUAUAAUAAACACUUGGGAAAAUCUAGUGAAAAAGGGAGGGUAACUAUGCAUGCAAAGGGUAGAUAUUCAAAUACAUAUAGAAAUCAUGCCUACUGGUCAUUCUGAAUUCUGCAUGUCCAACUAGGUAGAUAUUCAAAUAUAUAUAGAAAUCAUGCCUACAGGUCAUUCUGAAUCCUGCAUGUCCAACUUUCAUAUAGAAAUUAUGCCUAUAGGUACUUUUAAAUAAUUUCUGCAUAUAAAAAUACUGUUUAUAGGUUCUUAACUUAAUUUCUGCAUUUAGAAAUCAUGUUCAUAGGGUUCUUAAAGUAAUUUCUGCAUUUAGAAUAUAUGUUCAUAGGGUUUCGAAUAAUUUCUGCAUAUAGAAAUCAUGUUCAUAGGGUUUCAAUCAAUUUGUGCAUAUAGAAAUUGUAUCUAUAAGUACAUUAGAAUAAUUUCUGCAUAUAUAAAUCAUGUUCAUAGUAUUUCAAACAAUUCAACACCUAGAUAUCAUGUUCAUAAGUCUUUAAAACAAGUUUCCUGCAAUUUAUACCAUGUUUAAAAUCAACUAUGCGUAGACACCAUGCCUAUAGGAACCCUCAAUCGAAUUUACGCUACUUCAUAUACAUAUGGAACUAAAAGUGGUAAUAAUGGGUACUAUAAAAUUCAUAACCUUCGUUAAAAAUGCCUUUCUUUUAAUUGUCUGACUCCCUUUUGUAAAACCAGUACAUAUUCGGUUCAAUUUAGACCUUGUUGUUGCAUUGCUCUCUGAGUUCAGCAGAUGCCAUGCUUAUAGAAUCCUUGUCCGUCACUUAGGGAAGCCUUAGGGUAAAGUUUUCAAUUAAAUCAGUUAUGUUAAUAAGCUACAACCAGCAGGCAAGCCUGAGUCAGGCUUCCUAUCUGAAUUAUGUGACAAAUCAGUCUGCCUCAACCUUUACGUUCUCUCAUGUUGAGUACUGAAUCAGACCUUAACUAGUAUGUGUAAGUCAUGCUAAAUUAUGUGCUUCUUUGUGUAAAAGGGUGUAUUUGAGCCUUUACUUGUUAUAUGUUUUCCCCAAACUUACUAUACAUGUUUUAUAUGUUGCCUUAUAUUUUUAACCUUUAUAACAACGAAUAAGCCUAAUAUCACUCCCCUUUAGGAAUAGUAGCACUAAAUGCAUCCGGAACUGAUCGGAUUGGGAUUGAUAAUAGCAUGUAAUAAGUAAACGAGACCAUUACGCGUUUUAGUACCUUAAUGGGUGGGAAGUGUGAGGCCCGUGAAAGGUUUUUUUUCUAGAAACCCAAAGGCUCGUUGUGCCAACUAGGAGUACGUGUUAGAAAUGUGUAAAAUUCUUCACUUCAAGCUCGCGAGCCGCGGUUCAGACCCCUUUGGACUAAGCUAUGCAUUAAUAAAUCAAGAAAUUAUGUUUUGCAUAAAAGUGUCAUUCUACAAUCAAGAAUAUGAUCGCAUAUCAGGUAUGCGGACAACAUUUCAACCACAAAGUGAAUCAGUGUGGGCCAAAUUUGAAGUCAACUAUAAGGUCAAUUAUGCGAUCGCAUAAUCAAAAUACAGAUCACAUAGACGUAGCAUAAUUUCCUAAGGAUUUUGUGAAGGACAGUUUUGCGGUGCAUUAUUGGACAGCAGAGCAUGAAUGCGGACCACAUUCUUGCUGCAAACCCAAUCACCACGCCCUGUUUUUUGGAGUAAUUUUGCGGUCCAUUCUGCGAACACCAUUUCCACUUUGCGAUUGCAAAAUGCGUACGUAAAUCUGACUCAGGCUCCUAUUUAAUAAAUUUUAAAAUCCAACCCUACCCCGUUAAAAACACCACAACUAACUAUCUUAUGUUAUUUUUCACAAUAUAGAGAGAGGGGGAGGGAGUUCUAGAGUGAGAAGGAGUGACAUGCAUCAAGCUUGCUCUAAAUCCAUGACGAAUUCCUUGAAGGUUGCUAAUUAAAGCUACUAGGUCUUCCUCCUAACUGGUAAGUAAUUGUGCCCUCAUCAAUAAUUUCAAGCCUUUUUGUUAAAACAAGUAAUUAGUUAGAGGGUACAUGGGGUAAACGGCUAGAAAUCUUGCAUGCAUAAGUAACAAUGGGGUAAGGGAAGAUCGUGACAUUAAAAGUCGGUAAUUAGGGUAGAAAGUUAUAAAAUCUCUCACAAAAAGGAAUCAAAAAUAACAAUAUACGCCUAGUGCUUGUCAAUAUGCUCAAGUGAGCUAGGAUCUUAGUCGUAUCUCUAACUCUUGGCUAACUUCAUGGCUCUUCGUAAAAUAGAUCGAAGUUUCUAGGGAAUUCCGAGAAUUAUUGUAAGGCGUUAAGGGAGACUCCACUAUGGUAUUUAUGGCUAACCCUUUUCUUUUAGUGUUGAAUUUUAGUGUUUAAUAGUUGGCAUGAAAUUUCAAAUUGAUUCUACUUGGCUGAUUGCAUUCAUGUGCUGAGUGACGAACUUCCAUUCCGCAUUAUUCUAUGUGUUUGUUUGUAAUCAUGGUAAUUGACAAGGUGAUCAUGUCUUUCAAGAGUUCUUUAUUUCUCUAUGAAUGUGCAUUGCUUGUAAGAUAGCCCUUGAUAAAUGAAUGAUGAAAUUACAUGAACAAACUGAUAAAAGGCAAGGCUUGUGUUGUGUUGAUGAAUUUAAGUGCCAAAGGAGCAAAUAAAUGAAAAGAGGUGUUAUACCCGGUGUGGAAAAAGAUGGAAGGAAAUAGGAACAAAAGAGUAAUUAAAAGAGGUUAUCUCUCAAGUGAGAUGGCUUAGCCGAACGGGCUGAGAUCGGACGCCAUGUUGUACACAUGUUGGUAUUUAAAUUGGGUUCUGGAAUAUUAUUGUGAAUAUGGAUAUGUCUCACUUGAGUUAGCUUAGACGUUCGGGCAGAGACCGGACUUCGUGUUAACAAUCCCAUGGUGGUAUUAUAUUUUAAAGACAUGGUAUUUGGCAUUAAAGAAUAUUAACCUAAAAGAUAGAAAAAAAACUUAACCAACACCCAUGCAAGACUUAUUUGGUGCUCGACUUGAAUUUCUGUGAUGUAAUUGUUGAUGAUGUAAAUGUUUGUUUCCAUUGUUUCACUGUUCAUCCUAUUAGAAUUGGGUUUGCCAUAUAUACUAUUACUAAUCGAUAGUACUAACGUCCUUUUUUACGAUGGCUAUAUCUUUGAAUGGAUGUAGGUGGUUCCGCUACAGAUAAUGCCGAUAGCAGAUAGUGGUACACCCUUG